This 2287-nucleotide long non-coding RNA is filed under the name Homo sapiens (human). RNAcentral's name for it is "non-protein coding lnc-RNF208-1:2". The record is from RNAcentral. Lineage: Eukaryota; Metazoa; Chordata; Mammalia; Primates; Hominidae.
GUGGGCAGCUCCUGGCUGCUCUGCCCGUCUGCAGCCUCCAGGCCACCCUGGGAGGCCCAGGUUCCGGGAGGUAUGAUCAGUGUGUCCACACCAGACUGCAGGCAGAGCAGAGUUGAGGGACCAAGAAGGGUUGGGACAGGUGGGCAGGACCCCAGAACCACUCACAGCCCCGCUGGGUGGAAGCAAAUGGCCCCUCCUCACCCCUGCCCACCUUCUUGGCAGUCUGCCCCCAGGACUGGUCAGACAAGUUCUCGUGGCUGGCCUGGGUGUGGUCACCCUCUGGUGGGGGCCAGCAACGGGGCAAGGCGGGGAGCCUGGCACGCUAAGUCCUGGCACAGGGUCAGGGCAGUGACCCAUCUGUCCCACGCCUGGAGACCUCUGCAUGCCACGCGCCUGCCCUGCCCUGCUGUGGAGCUGGUCACCAUGCGUCAGGGAAGGGCUGGCAUGGCGUGAGGACCCGUCUGUCCUGCGUGGCCAGCUCGGCUGCCACCUCCUCGCCUUGUCUCUGCCCUGCCCGGAACACCAGGGCGCCCCAAGCUGGCCUCAAUGCUCACUCCCUGCCUGGCAUCCUGGCUUACAGUGGUGAGGCAGUACCUGCGCAGAGCAGCCUAGCGCCUGGUGCUCAGCCCCAGAGAGGCCCCCACCCUGCUCAGCAGACCAGGAGACGGCCCAGCACCCACGGCCCCAGCCUCCUCCUGCCUCAUCCUCAAGGCCUGGUCCAGGCCACCUCCUCCCGGAAGCCCAGGCCCCGAGGCAGGACAGGAGUGUCCACAGUGACUGUGUGUGUGUGUUCUCGGGUCCACAUAAAGGGGCAGAUGCCCUGUGUCCAGCUACAACCCCCUCCCAAAGGAGCCUGCAGCAAAGAAGAAUUGCUGGGAGGAAGAUCACCCUGCUUUAUUGCCUGGGCCUUAAGGUAAUCAGGGGUGUCCCUCUCCAGCCAGGACCUGGGAUUCCGUUUCAGGAGCUCGGGCUGAACGGCCACCUUCCUGGUGGGUCUGAGCCCCAGUGCCUGGUGUGAAGGGGCAGACGCCCAUGACAACAGCCACCCCGCAUGUCCCGGCAUGUCCCGGCACUGUGUGAGCCACAUUUGCUGAAGUCUGGGUCCUGGCCCUGGCAGGGUGGGCUGGGCUAGGAGAUGACACAGCAGCAGCAGCUGUGGCAGCGGCAGAAGGGGGGGCAGUGGCAGCAGUGGCAGCAGGGGCAGCAGCAGCAGUGGUGGGCGAUGUCAUCCCCGCGCCCCGCGGGCGGAGGGCCAGCGUAGGUCAGUCCGGCCUGGCGCUGACUGCUGCUGUAGGGGUUGCCAGGCUGCUGCCAGGCCUGCUGGUUCUGGAUGGGGGCAGCCCCCUGGUUACCCUUGGCGCCCUUGGGCCCUGGGACCUCGGUCGGCUGCAAGAGGUGGGUUGGCUCUGGGGCACAGGGCCCCACUGGCAGGGGCUGCAUCUCCGAGGAUGAGGAACAGGUGGAAGCCACCUCUAACUGCUGCCCCAGCCUGCAGGGGUGGGCAGAGAAGACAGACAUGAACUCAGUGGAGUGGGAUGGCUGCCCACGAGCCUGCGGCCCAGGAAAGCCCCCACCAGGAGCAGCGUGCCUCGUCCAAGCUCAGCAUCCCCAAGGCAUCAGUGCCGGGGUGCCAUCACCUCCAAAUGUGUGUGCAAGGCUAGUGUCAUGGGUGUGAGCCAAGUGUGAGCAAGCAGCAAGGGCCGGUGUCUCCCAGCUGCCACCCCUGCCAGGGAUCCUCCCCCUCCCCUGGUGGCAUUGGUCCUGGGAUGGAGCUGGGAAUGGGGUCGGGGAGGCUGAGAGAUGGGAGAGAAGGGGGCUGACCCUGCAGUGCCCCUGAGUUCAGGGCAGUCCCGGCGGCCAAGGGCUUACCUGUGGUGGCAACACGGCAGUCUGUCCUCUCGGUCUUCUGAGCUCUAGGUCCCAGUGCCUGAGUUGAGCGACUGGCAGCCGCCUUUUCCCUCCUUGGGAGGGGCGGGGCCAUGGGGCGGGGCUCAGAGAUGGGGUUCCCAAGAUCCCAAGAGGCCCCAGCAACUGGAGCACGACAGCUGGCCCAGCCCUCGUCCUCAGGUGGGUGGCAGCCCAGGCCUGGGCUCUGAGGGGCACUGCCAAACCAGUGACUCAGCCCCUCACAUCCGGGGCAUGGCCUGGGCCCUAAAGGGCAUCUGCAGCUUGCCUGAGAGGAGGGCAGGAGGUGAGCCUGAGGUCACGGCUCUGGAAAGGAAGUGGGGUGAGGCCCUCAGAUUCCCGGGCCUGCAGUCCCCAGCCAUUGCUCACACACCUCAAAGCC